This 72-nucleotide transfer RNA is filed under the name Actinomycetota bacterium. RNAcentral describes it as "tRNA-Gln". It matches the Rfam family "tRNA". From Rfam's summary of the family: Transfer RNA (tRNA) molecules are approximately 80 nucleotides in length. The record is from RNAcentral. Lineage: Bacteria; Bacillati; Actinomycetota.
UGGGGGGUGGUGUAAGUGGCAGCACGAGGGGUUUUGGUCCCCUAAGUACGGGUUCGAGUCCUGUCCCCCCAG